GGGCCAAUGAUGAGAAUCUUAUAUUGUCAUGAAGAGAAGUGAUGACUUAAAAAUCAUGCUCAAUAGGAUUACGCUGAGGCCC
Aotus nancymaae (Ma's night monkey) is the source of this 82-nucleotide small nucleolar RNA. Its record names the gene SNORD115. It matches the Rfam family "Small nucleolar RNA SNORD115". From Rfam's summary of the family: HBII-52 is a member of the C/D class of snoRNAs, which contain the C (UGAUGA) and D (CUGA) box motifs. HBII-52 is encoded in a tandemly repeated array with another C/D snoRNA, HBII-85, in the Prader-Willi syndrome (PWS) region of chromosome 15. Lineage: Eukaryota; Metazoa; Chordata; Mammalia; Primates; Aotidae. The record is from Ensembl.